GAGAAAUGCGAGGAGAACGGCGCCUGCUGGUGGCGUGGGCUUGCCGAUGAAAUGAGCGAUUCACCCAUGCCUCUCAGCACAGGGCCUGUCCCGGGCCGCAUACUGUGCAUUGUCAGCUGCUGUCGGAGCUGGGCUAGCGGUCGCCUUGAGAGCCAGCAGUCCACGGGGGUUGGCGAGCUUCUGGGAGGAAAGGGUGGAACGUGACUGUCAGGUACAGAGCUACAGAGAACCCCAGCAUGAAGGAGUAGGUGGCAGGGGAGAAGGACUCAACAGAGAUGGAGAAAGACUAAGCCCAAAGGUGAUCAACAACAAGAGUGAAGGAGGAAGUGGUCAGCUGUGGCUGGGGCAAAACAAGCCCAGUAAGUUACAUUGGCCUGUGUUUGGUCAUCCAGGGACAAAGUGACCUUUUUAGUGCCUGUAGGCCCAGCGCGUUGGGGAAGAAUUUAGAAUGCAGUGGGGAUAGGUGUGAGAGGAGCGGGGGAAGUGAAGAUUGAGUUGAGACCACUGGCUGGAGAACUUGACCGGGAAGGGAGGGCAGAGAGCAGCAUGGGGUGACGGGAGGGAAUGGAUCCAACGAGCGUCUUAGGAUGAGGGAGUUGUGAGCACUCAACACCAUUACAAAGAAGGGAUCGGGGAUUGAUAGACUGACAGAUGCAUGCACAGAGGCAGGCAGGGAUGAAUGGACAGAUGCAUGCACAGAGGCAGGGAUGGAUGGAUGGACAGAUGCAUGCACAGAGGCAGGGAUGGAUGGAUGGACAGAUGCAUGCACAGAGGCGGGGAUGGAUGGACAGAUGCAUGCACAGAGGCAGGGAUGGAUGGACGGACAGAUGCAUGCACAGAGGUGGGGAUGAAUGGACAGAUGCAUGCACAGAGGCGGGGAUGAAUGGACAGAUGCAUGCACAGAGGCGGGGAUGAAUGGACAGAUGCAUGCACAGAGGCGGGGAUGGAUGGACAGAUGCAUGCACAGAGGCGGGGAUGGAUGGACGGACGGAUGCAUGCCCAGAGGCAGAGAUGGAUGGGUGGGUAGAUUGGACGGACAGAUGAUGGUAGGUUGUUCUUGUCCUGGAGGAGGUGAUCCAGGCUGAGUCCUCACACUGGGCAG
RNAcentral lists this long non-coding RNA (1102 nucleotides) under Pan troglodytes (chimpanzee). Its description in RNAcentral is "long non-coding RNA NONPTRT005892". Lineage: Eukaryota; Metazoa; Chordata; Mammalia; Primates; Hominidae. The record is from RNAcentral.